UGGGGAAUAUUGGACAAUGGGCGCAAGCCUGAUCCAGCCAUGCCGCGUGGAUGAUGAAGGCCCUAGGGUUGUAAAGUCCUUUCGGACGGGACGUAGGGCGAAUAGCGCUGACUGAUGACGGUACCGUAAUAAGAAGCACCGGCUAACUAC
This 150-nucleotide ribosomal RNA is filed under the name uncultured bacterium. RNAcentral's name for it is "partial 16S ribosomal RNA". It matches the Rfam family "Bacterial small subunit ribosomal RNA", at positions 355 to 504 of the family's 1533-position model. The record is from RNAcentral.